GCCAUUCUGUGAUAUGCCUAUUCAUUAUGUGUCCAGAGUACUUAUUGCUAAUCUGUAGUUAGAAAAAUUCAGUUAAUCAAAUCAUACAUCAAGUGGUGGUGUUUUGAAAAUUCUUUGGAAAGAAAAAAAAAAUUCUUUGAAGAAUGUGAGAGUUGUAUCUUGUACCAUGAGGCUUCCAAGGUAAAGAUCCUUUAAAUACCUGUGAUAAAAAUGAGGGGGAAGAAUAAAAGUAUAUUUAACAAAUACAGUAUUAAGAGUAGCGAUUCUAUAAUCUGAUCUCACAGUGGGCUCUUUUGUAAUACUAACUUUUUGUUGGUAGAAACUAGCAGGCAUACUAAUCAUUUUAAUGAGACUCACUGCGUGAAUAAUGAAUAUAAAAAUAAUUCGGUAUGUACUCAGACCUUCACAAAAGUCACAUUUCAGUUGAUUCAUUUCUUGAGAACUUCUUCAGUUUAAUAUUAUGAUUAAGAAAAUAGAUUUUGGGGCACCCGGCUGGCUCAGUCGGUGGAGCAUGCAAGUCUUGAUCUCGGGGUUUUAAAAGUUUGAGCCUCACACUGGGUGUUGAGAUCACUUAAAAAUAAAAUCUUAAGAAAAAAAAUAGAUUUUCUGUAAUAUGAUCACUGGGACAUGGGAAGUCAGGAUCCUGUGGAUUGCCAGCUCUGGUUCACUUAUUCUUGUGCAAUAAAAAUACCCAGGAUUCUGUAUGCAAAAACAAAGAAGUUUUUCUGGCCCAGCUCUUCCAAAUUCCUUCAGCCCCCUCACCCUGACAACACUGUGUAUUCACGUCUCUAAUUCUGGGCAUUAGGACACUUGAAAUGAAUUCCAAGAUCUAGAUCAUCACAGAAAAUUAUGUUUUCCCAAAAUCUUUAGAUUUUGGUGGAAAAUUUAGUUUUAAGAUGUUUAAGAAUGCUGUAAAAUAGUUCCUUUUAAAUGUGUUAUUAUUUAAACUCCACUUUCUCUCUCCUAGGUUAUUUAUUUAAAUUCAGCUGAGUUCCACAUUCCCUGGAUGGCUAAGAACAGACAUUUACCAUAUAAAUCAAAAACUGAUGAAGGCUUUAAGCCUAUAUGUUAAAAGACUGGCAGUGAGAUGUUUUAUGGCCUUAAGUACUACAUAUCCAAUUAAGUUGGUGACAGGCACCCGUUUCUGGUAUGUGUAGUGAUGGUCUCAUUCACUGAUUCAGUAAACAGACUAGAGGAUCAGUAAAGAGAAGAGGUGCCUCCCAUGGCUGGCUUACAUUACUGUCUAGAUUUUUACUUUCAUGUUUCUGAUGAUGCUAAAUUGAACAGAUUGAAAAUUCUGUUAGAAAACCAUGUUUACCCAAUUCCUGUAAGUUCCACAGCUAAAAAAGAAUUUUUGAAAGAUUUUUCUUAAUUUAGAGAGCCAGUGAGUGUGAAGGUAGAAGGGCAGUGAGAGAGAAUCCCAAGCAGACUCUGAUCCCAACACAGUGCAAUCUUAGGACACCGAGAUCAUGACCUGAGCCAAAAUCAAGAGUUGGACGGUCAACUAACAGAACCAUCCAGGCACCGCUGCUUCCUUUUUUUUAAACUGUAUUCCUUGUGGGUCUUGCAUUAGUAUGCAAGGGUCUAUUUAUCCUUCUUUCUCUCCAAAUUAAAUUCUAGUUAGUUAAUAUAUAGUGUAAUAUGUUUCAGGUGUUUACUUUUAUUCAUUUCCAUUUCGUAUUCUCAAAACCGCAAAUUCCAAAAUAUGCACUGUAUUGUCCUAACAGAAGCAUUAGUCCGUGUGUGGUCAAUUCCUUUUAGUGGACAAAGAAGAAAGACCGCUAAAAUGCUACUGCUAGUGAAAUUGAUUUUUUUAAAUAUAAUGAUCUUUGUC
Long non-coding RNA from Mustela erminea (ermine), 1834 nucleotides. RefSeq lists it as uncharacterized. NCBI's taxonomy places the organism in Eukaryota, Metazoa, Chordata, Mammalia, Carnivora, Mustelidae. The transcript is spliced from 3 exons. The record is from RefSeq and is a predicted model, not a curated record.